Non-coding RNA from Peromyscus maniculatus bairdii (prairie deer mouse), 2749 nucleotides. The record is from RefSeq and is a predicted model, not a curated record. Lineage: Eukaryota; Metazoa; Chordata; Mammalia; Rodentia; Cricetidae.
UUGUCUGAUAACAGAGAACUUUGUACAAGAUAUAUAUGUAUAUGUAUAUAUAUAUAUUACUUAACUAAAAAAUUAGAUGAAAAUUUCUAUAAGUAAAAAGUCAAUCUAUAGGGCUAAAUUUCAAUGCCUGAAUGCCUAAGGGUGCUUGAUCUCUAAAUAUUAUAUUUUUACUGAAAAUUAAUAUCUACAAAGGCACAAAAUUUCAUUUAUUUUUUGGUCCACCAAGAAUGAUAUAAAGUGAUUUCAUCCUUUAAGUUUUGGUAAUGUCUAUUAUUACUCACUGGCCAUACAAGACAUCAUUCUUUCACAUAUUUUGCCUACUGGUCCAAGAUUUUACAAAUUGACCCAGCCUUAUUCAUGGUAGUAAUAUAUAUGUGAAAUAAGGUAGUUUUAAAAAAUUCUUUUAUUGACGUUGAAUUCAUUUUAUAUAUUUUGGCAGGUCUCUGAGGAUGGUUCUCAUAUACUCCAUCAUCAGUGUUAAUUGGUGUGCAUCCCAAGAACCUAUUUGCCACCCUCCAAUCUUGAAGUCAGGCUAAAUUGCGUAAUUACUCUAGAGAUGCGUUUACCUUUAAGAAGAUCUAAUCAGUCAAUAGACUGAAGAGUGCCUCUGAUUUUUAUACAGUGCAAAGUGAAAAGUUUAUUAGAUGACGGAUGUAUAACCACAAGGUGGAAGGCAGGCUGUGCUUCCAAACAUUUGACCUCUUUUUCAAAUAGGAAACAGGAACAACAUCUGUUUGCCAUGGCACGAUGCCGUUGGCAAGUGAUCUUUCCAGGUUAAUUAUUGGAUGAUGUGCAGCUCUUCCGUAAUUUGACAGUUCUUCAUGAUGAGAGCUUCAAGUAGGCAGAUGUUCCCCUAUGGAAUCAGAAGAGAAUGGUGACAACUUCAUUGCAUACUGACAAGAUGUCACACACCCUGUUUUUAUAGACUUGGAAGAUGAGCUCAAAAGUUCUUGAGUGUAAUAUUGGUUAUUUGUGGGACAUAGAAAGGAACGAUAUUAGAAAAUGUCACUAAUAUCUCUGGCAAUUAGAACAUCAAACAUUGCAGCUUAAAUGUUUACCCAGGAUAGGAAUCUAGAGGUAACACUUGUAAGAGAUAUCCUGAGGAUGAAAAAUAUAGAUUUAUUUUCAGUACAUUUUUGGAAAUAUACCGGAUUUCUACAGCAGUAGAUCUUAACUACAUUCCUACUGAGUAAUAUUAUUACCAUUAGCUGUUUGCCAGUAGCUACUGGCAUAAUUUUCUUUUUCUACUGCUCACUGGACCCAAGCCUACUCAAUUUAGUGUAGUUGGCUGUAGUACCUCUCACUUUCUUAAAAUGCAGGGCUUUUCAAUUUAAAGAAUGUUUAUGGUAUCAGAGUAAUUUGAAACAGGUGUUUAAGCCUCACAUCUAUGCUGUGCAACAGAAGGUUUAUAUAUUUUUCAUUAUAUAGAGAGAUAGACCACAGUACUUGAAAUGACCAUCUGUCAUCAAAUACAUGCUGUGUGCUGAAUGUAAGAGAAAUAAUGUUUCGAUGCAAAAUCCUUUGAAAGUAACAAGAUGUACUCCCAAUACCUUCUGUCUCUUUUCUUGUCACUGAAUUGGAUAAAAACAAAAGAAUUAUUUUGUUUUCUUGCUUUCAGAGUAUCACCAAUGAGAGAACCCUAGAAUAUUGCAUGAUGUUUUUGCUUGGUUUGGCUUAUAAAACUGUAAGCCGUAUAUUUGAGAGAACAGUUAGUCCAUGGAUUUCCCCCAGAAGGGUGAUAUAAUUUUCACAUUGGAACACAAUUUGGAAGAAAAAUGAACAAGAUAAAGAUGGAGAUGAUCCUUGAACUAAACAUGGAGUCACUGAUGAGGAAUUUUGCAGACUACUAAAGAAUAUGUCAUUUUAAAGGGUGAGAAGCUCUCUUCUUUCGGUCAAGGUUUUUCUCCUCUUCAGAAAAUAUGAUCGUAGAAGUUUGGAAGACUUUUCCUGAUUGCUAAAUGAAGAAUUUUCUCAGCAAUAUAGUGUAGGUGGAGCUGGGCUCACAAGGCUUAUUCAGGUCAGAUGGCUUUGAAAAGCAUUAGUGACCUGAGGACGGGUUCAGCGGUUUGCUGUUUUGGCCCAAACCUACUUUUCCACAGACUGUUGGAAGAACUCACGGGAACCUUUUGUACAGUAUGAUACGUAAAAAAACGACUUACAAGGAUUAGUGGUUGCUAACAGACCUUGUGUCUCCACUCCUCUGUCUCUUUUUCAGCUUUGGACAGUUAGUAAGGUUGCAGGCUGAAGCUACAUGCUUACAUGUAGCUACAUGCUCAUCCUUCAGAAAUUAUUCUUCCUUCAUUAGUAUUACUUGCAAACAGACACAAGCAUUUAGUGUUUCUGAGUGAUCCAGAGAUUAUCUACACUCAGGGUGGUUCUAAAGCAAUAAAACUGAUCUCAGACUCACUGGUUUCAAUGUCUACAGUUUGGAUUAAGUGAUCUGUCGAUUCAAUAAACUGUCACUUGUCUUAAUCCCCAGGAGAUAGUUGAUAACAUCUGUAGAUAUUUUGGAUGUUAGAGCUGUGGUAGGGAAGUGGUAGUGGAUGUAUGUCACUUGCUUGCUGUGGAUAGAGGUUGGGAUGUUGCAAGUCAGUAUAACCCCCAAAUUGCUAAUUGUGCUGUAUUUGAGAAUCUUGUGUCUCAGGAUAGUUUGAAAAACAUCUCUCUUUCUAGGGGCAAGUGUCUGUCUCUCUAUUUGCUCAGUCAUUCUAAUUCUUUUCAAAAUUUAUUUAUUUUUAUUUUAUUUUUU